Molecule: ribosomal RNA, 459 nt
Filed under: uncultured bacterium
Lineage: Bacteria
Description: partial 16S ribosomal RNA
Rfam family: Bacterial small subunit ribosomal RNA
Source: RNAcentral
CCUACGGGUGGCAGCAGUGAGGAAUAUUGGUCAAUGGCCGGAAGGCUGAACCAGCCAAGCCGCGUGAAUGACGAAGGUGCCAAGCAUUGUAAACUUCUUUUGUCAAGGGACAAAAUCAGGCUCGAGAGCCUGACCGCGGGUACUUGAAGAAAACGCCUCGGCUAACACUGUGCCAGCAGCCGCGGUAAUACGGAGGAGGCGGGCGUUAUCCGGAUUUAUGGGGUUUAAAGGGUGCGUAGGCGGGCUGUUAAGUCAGCGGGAAAAGCCCGGGGCUCAACCCCGGCGAGCCGUUGAAACUGGCUGUCUUGAGAUGUCGAGAGGUAUGCGGAAUGCGCAGUGUAGCCGUGAAAUGCUUAGAUAUUGCGCAGAACUCCGAUUGCGAAGGCAGCAUACCGGCGGCGAUCUGACGCUGAGGCACGAAAGCGUGGGUAUCGAACAGGAUUAGAUACCCUAGUAGUC